RNAcentral lists this ribosomal RNA (292 nucleotides) under uncultured Acidobacteriota bacterium. Its description in RNAcentral is "uncultured Acidobacteria bacterium partial 16S ribosomal RNA". Lineage: Bacteria; Pseudomonadati; Acidobacteriota. The record is from RNAcentral.
GGACUACACGGGUAUCUAAUCCCGUUUGCUCCCCUGGCUUUCGCGCAUCAGCGUCAGUAUCGGCCCAGUAGCCCGCCUUCGCCUCAGGUAUUCCUCCCGAUAUCUACGCAUUUCACCGCUACACCGAGAAUUCUAGCUACCUCUUCCGUACUCUAGCUCGCCAGUAUCGGCCGACUCUCCGGGGUUGAGCCCCGGGCUUUCACAGCCGACUUAACAAGCCGCCUACGCGCCCUUUACGCCCAAUAAUUCCGAACAACGCUUGCCACCUACGUAUUACCGCGGCUGCUGGCAC